CCUACGGGAGGCAGCAGUGGGGAAUUUUGGACAAUGGGCGAAAGCCUGAUCCAGCCAUGCCGCGUGCAGGAUGAAGGCCUUCGGGUUGUAAACUGCUUUUGUACGGAACGAAAAGGUCUUUUCUAAUAAAGAAGGCUCAUGACGGUACCGUAAGAAUAAGCACCGGCUAACUACGUGCCAGCAGCCGCGGUAAUACGUAGGGUGCGAGCGUUAAUCGGAAUUACUGGGCGUAAAGCGUGCGCAGGCGGUUAUAUAAGACAGUUGUGAAAUCCCCGGGCUCAACCUGGGAACUGCAUCUGUGACUGUAUAGCUAGAGUACGGUAGAGGGGGAUGGAAUUCCGCGUGUAGCAGUGAAAUGCGUAGAUAUGCGGAGGAACACCGAUGGCGAAGGCAAUCCCCUGGACCUGUACUGACGCUCAUGCACGAAAGCGUGGGGAGCAAACAGGAUUAGAUACCCUGGUAGUCCACGCCCUAAACGAUGUCAACUGGUUGUUGGGUCUUCACUGACUCAGUAACGAAGCUAACGCGUGAAGUUGACCGCCUGGGGAGUACGGCCGCAAGGUUGAAACUCAAGGAUUGACGGNNGNGNGNGACGAGACGACGACGAGGAGAGG
RNAcentral lists this ribosomal RNA (614 nucleotides) under uncultured bacterium. RNAcentral's name for it is "bacterial SSU rRNA". It matches the Rfam family "Bacterial small subunit ribosomal RNA", at positions 338 to 946 of the family's 1533-position model. The record is from RNAcentral.